AAGAAUUUGGAGAAGACUUCCCUUUUGGAGUUGUUGCUGCUGCAAAGCUGUUUCUAGCUCCCGCGUAGUUUCUUUUUGAUUGCACCUGCUUCUUGCAAGGUUGCUUUUGGAUUGCACAUGUUUCCUGUUUUUCAAAUAAAGAGCAAUUGUUAAUUUGAAAGAGUGGUUGGUUUUGCGUCCUUGAGUAUUUUAGUCACUUGAUCUUGGCUUCUUUGAUGAUAAUUUCACUUGCAACUAGUUGUUUCCUGAAUACCAAUGCACUUCUGGCCCCAGAGAACCCUUGGCUUUUCCAAAACAUUGCCAUGACAGUCGACUACUUAGGACUUAACCUUUUUCAACUUUAUUUUGUCUUUGUAGGCCUUUGACUUCUUUCUUCCAAUUUUAACUUCAGAGCUUUGGGGAACCUUUGGCUCUUCAAACUUUACCAAGACGGUUAACCACUUGGGACUUAACCUUUUCAACUUUAUUUUGCUCUUGUAGGCACUUUUAAUUUUGAUUUACUCCUUCUAAGAGUCUUUGAUUUCGAAGCAUCGGCGGCCAUGGCCAGUCGGGGUCGACUUGAUGCCCCUGCCGAGGCUGGGUGCCUUUUUUGCAUAUUAGCUUGUAUCAAACGAGAGCCCCAGUAAAUUAGUAUUUCCAUCCCUUAUUUUAGUUUUUUGAACAAGAUUGGACCGAAAGGGAUUCAAUAAAAAACAAACAAUGAAAUGGACAAUGAAUUUAAACAAGAGAUGCCCUUUCAAGGAAAGGAAAUAGGGACUUAUUUGGGAGUACAUGCGGACUUCAAUGAAAAUGACAUGUCUUUUGGACUGGAUGCCUUAUCCAUGUAAACCAUCCGACUCUCAGAAACUCAUCACAAAUUUGCCUUGGAACCGAGAAACAUUGCCCAGGACUGUAUUGAUACCAUGGCUAUGAGGAUCCUCUUUUUCGAUUAGUGGCGCCCUUUGCGGGUUUUCACCAACUAACCUCUCUCAUUUCUCUUCUCACCAUCAUCUUAUAGUGCUCUUUAUGAGUUUUCACUAAAAAGACUCUCAUUUUUAAUUUCUUUACCUAUCAUCACCUUACGGUGCCCGUGAGGGUUUUCACCAACAAGACUCUCUCAUUUUAUUUCUCUCAUUUUGGUUGCAUCAGAUCCAAGUACCUGUGUCUUCCAAUUUUGAACAUUCUUGCCGAUUGAUCGGAAGGACUUGAAGAAGAUUUGGGUAAAAAGAAUUCGGAUUGAAUUACAACUUUGGAACCCUUCAGGAGAAACCAUCGCCGAACAAUUAUAGCAUCUGCCUCAGUUUUCACUUUUUGGGGAAUAUGGAUUUUUGUUUUAGUGUGACUGAACCCCAGAGAGAGGCUGCCUACGUAUCCUUUCAGAAUCAAGUCAAACGUAGUUCAAUUGACUUUGUUUUUGAUUUCCUUAUGUCUUUUUUUUCUUUUGUUUCUUUUUCUUUUCAUUUUUCUUUUUUCUUUUUUUCAAUAAUAACUUCCAGGUUCCAAAGAGGGUGAUCAAAGAAAGGGAACCGAUUCAAAGGGUUUGCAAAGAGUUGAUAGUGUUUGGGUAGCGAGAAUGAAAGCCUUCGUCAUCCCAAUCAUAGAACACUAAUGCUACAUAGAGGGCCAAACAUAGUACAAUUUGACUGCAUCCGCGUUGACUGUUGUUUUAGGGACAUUUCCUUCGAUACUUCCCAGGUACAACGCUCUCUUUUGGCAGUACUCUCGUUACAAUGUAUGGACCUUUUCAAUUUGGAGCCAAUUUUCUUUUAGCUUCUUCAUGAGGUAGGAGGAUACAUCUCAGAAUGAGUUGUCCUAUUUCAAAUUUCCAGGGCCGCACUUUCUUGUUGUAGACACGGGCCAUUCUUUGUUGGUACAACUGCCCGUGGUAAAAUGCGGCCAAUCAUUUUUCAUCAAUGAGUGUCAAUUUUUCUAAUUGAUUCUUGACCCAAUCUUUAUCCUCAAUCUCGGCUUCAAUAAUAAUCCGAAGAGAGGGAAUUUCAAUUUCUUCCGAUUUCAUUCGGACCUGGCUUAGUCCUACUGUUCCAAUUCUUUGUUUAUUUUCUCACAAGCCUUAUCUUCAAUACAUUCUGCUUCUUGAUUCAUUAUUUCGAGGUCUGACAGUGUUUUAGGAUCUGGGCAUGAAGUCCGUAAGCAUGUCAUGUUAUUAAAAUCUGCAUUAACAGAACUGAAAAAAGAAUAAGAAAGGUGGCAAGAUUAAGAAACGAGACAUUCCUCGAUAAUAAAAUAUUAAUUUCAUUUGAUUUUUUAUUUUUUUAUUUUUAUUUUUAUUUUUAUUUUUAAAGAUAGAAGGGUUUACAUCAGAAAGCAAAGAAGUGAAGUAAAACAUCUGGAUUACACCCUGAAAUAAUCUGGACGUAGAAAAGACAGCAAGACCGGCUACCGAGAUUCCCGUCUAACAGAGGACUUUUCAGAUUUGGCGCCCGUUUUUGGGUUUCUCUUCUGCCCCGGCAAUGACUACUAUGGCUUUCAAUGCUGGAUCAAAUUCCAUAUCAUCACAAAUUAUUCCAAUGGCUGGGCCAGUGUUGUGAGCAGGCAACGGAUUAUUUGUUACAUUAGGGGCUUCUUCUUCCUUGAGAAUUAUUGACUUGACCUCAACGAGGUCCUCCACUACUCUUUUGAGAGUCCAACAAUCUUCAGUAUUAUGUCCCACUACUCCAUAGUGGUAUUCACAUCUAGCAUCAGCUCGAUGCGGGGGGAACUCAGGGUUUGGCCGGUUCGGGGCCACUGGCUGCAGCAAACCUAGCCUGAUUAGCUUUUGAAACAAACUUGAAUACGAUUCACCAACAGGGGUGAACUAAUUCCUUCUGAGGGGAUCUUUUGGGUGAGGAUUGUAUUGGGGAACAUUUGGUUGGGGAUUAUAUGGAGCUUGGUAGGGACGUGCAUUUCUGGGAGGUGGAGCUCAGUUUUGUGUAUAAUGUUAUGGCCGCGUGUAAUGUUGCACGUUCAUCACCGCAUAGGGAGGCGGUGCCACGGCAUAAGCAGUAUCUUGAUGGGGAUAAUAGUGUUUUGGGAUCUUAGAAAGCAUAUAUGAUUGGUUGCAUGACCUGCAGGCCCUCCUUUAGCUCGAAGCCAUCAUGGCUCCCUCUUCUCUCCAGUUUCUGUUUACCACCCCCCCCCCGAACCAUUCUGAAUAGCUCGUGAUGUGGCCUUAAAGGCAGCAUGACCUAAGAUUCGGCCCGUUUUUAAACCAUUUUCGACCAUCUCCCCAAUUUUGAUAGCCUCACCGAACGGUUUACCCAUAGUGAACAUCAUGUUAUGGAAGUAGUCCGCCUCUUGGGCCUGUAGGAAGACUAUAACCAUUUCUACUUUGUCCAUUGGAGGCUUUACCCUGGCGGCUUGCUCGCGCCAUUUGACAGCAUAUUCACGGAAACUUUCCGCGAUUUUAUUUUUCAAACUGGACAAAGAGUUUCUGUCAAGAGCGAUGUCCACAUUAUACUGGAACUGGCAGAAAACAUCUCGGGCCAAAUCUUCCCAUACAUGCCAAUGGUUAAUUUUUUGAUCCAUGUACCACUCGAAAGCAAUUCCGGUGAUACUUUCUCCAAAAUAUGCCAUUAAUAGCUCUUCUUUUCCACCAGUGCCCCUCAGCUGGUUACAGUAUCGUUUUAGAUGAGCGAUCGGGUCUCCGUGCCCGUCGUACCUUUCAAAUCUUGGCAUCUUGAAGCCAGAUGGCAAGUGGACAUGGGGAAACAUGCACAAGUCGGCAUUAGAGACGCUCUUUUGGCCACUCAAACCUGCAUGUUCUUUAAACUCUGCUCCAAGCUUUUUAUCUUCCGAGCCAUUUCCUCUUGCUCGGGAUUGUUGACAACAUUUUCUUGUUCAACCGAGAAGUCAUAUUGCGGAGGUUGAGUGAAUGAGUAUGGGGUCACAUAUGUUAUUUCUAGUCGAAACUGUGGACCCUGAAAGGUGAACGUUGGAGGCUCAACAUACAACCGUGGCAUAGUUGGUCAUGUUGUGGCGCAAACUGGUGCUACAGAGAACAUUGCUGGUGGUGCCCUUGAAACCGGUGCAUGGGGGUGAACCACAUAAGGCAUGUCAGGACCGCUAGAUGGCAUUGGAGGGUAUCUGCAUGGGAUGAACAGGUUGGGCACAGGGACAUUGGUAGCCUUCCCUGACCUGGGGAUCAACUCAGGGAACCCAUGGAUUGCACUCGGCGGUUCCCUACCUUUAGACUAGGCAUCCCACAUUUCCAACGUGCAUGGACGCAAUAUCCUAUUUUCUUUAGCAGUUGCUGAUUCUGGCUGUGGAAUAGCCGAUGUCGGGCUAUCCUCAAGGUUGAUAAUUUUUAGAUUACUUUUGAAGGCCAUAGGAUCCCUGCCUUGGAUCUUGUGAAGUAAGGAUGGGAAGCCAGAUUACCAACAAAAAUCAAUCACCUGAAUAGAAUCUGGCUAAUUUGCACACGCAACAACCUUGUUAGUUUUGAAACAUUUAAGAGAUAGGAAAUCAUACGUUGGGAUGCAAUGCACCUAAAUAGUUAAAUACUUCUAUCAUGUGUUUGAACGGUUGUGUGUUUCAUCCCGGCUUUAACUGACCCUUUUUCACUCUAUACCUCUUUUCUUUUCAUUUCACGUUUUUUUUGAAUUUUUGGAUCUUUCAUAUUUUUUUUCCUUUUUUUUUGUUUUCUUCUUCUUUUGUUUUUAUUGUUUUUCGCUCUUUGUUUUUCUCUGUUAUUUUUUGUCACUCUUUUCUUUCUUUUUCUUUCUUCUCUUUCUUUUUCACUCGGUUUAUUUAAUGUCUAUGAUCGCAUCCGAUGAGAAUUGCCUACGUAUAAUGACGCCACAUGAAUCAGAUCAUCACACAGUUGAGGAAUACCAUGAAUAAAGUAAAUGAGCUAACUCUUUUUUCUAAUUUAUUCACCAUUUGUUUUUCUCUUCUUUUUUUUUAAAAUCGUACCACAAAAAGCUCCUAACAAGAAAAAUAUUUUGGAUUUUGAUUGUUUUUUUUUGGAAUUUCGAAAGAAAUACUUCUAAAGAAGAAAGAAAAUAAUUUAGAUUUUGAUUUGAAUUUUUUUUCUUUUUUCUUUCGAAUGAAAGACUUCAGAAAAGAAGGAAAAUAUUUUUGGAUUUACUUUUUUUUUGGAUUUUCUAAGGAAAGAAUUUUAAAUAGGGAAUUAAGGAAAAGAAAAAUAUUUUGGGAUUUAUUUUUUAAAAAUUGGGGGCUGGAACCGAUGAGGUUUGCCUACAUAUCUCACAUCCGGUGAGAAUCAGACCCGCGUAGUUCGGUCAAUUUUGACACAACAGGAAAAAUAUGACUUUUGAAAACAUUUGCUCAUUUUGAAAUGACUUUUCUUUUUCUCUUUUGUUUUUCAAAAUUUCGGCAGAGUUUCGGGAUUUUUCAAAUACUUAGAUUUUUCAUAACCGAGUAACUUUUCUCUCUCCUACCUCACUCUUAGUUUUUUUUUCUUGGUUUUUUUUCCUACUCUAGAAGCCGGUCAAUAUGCAGGUCGAAACAAACAAAUGCACAAGUAGCAUGUAAAAUGCAUCAGGAUGGUCUUUUAGUUUAGGUACACCUGUCUUAGAUGGACCCAACCCCUAUGUUGAGUCCCCAAAGGCAAAUGCACGUGAUGCAAACAACGUUCCUACUAGGGAUCCGGCAUGAGGCUAUGUUAUUCUAGGUUUGAAUCCUAGGGGUGUAUUUUAGACCUGGCUUACCCAAGCGGAUAGCUCGAGCCGAAGUGGGGGCAACGUACCGGGAGCACGAAAGUCUACCCGACCUAGUUAUUGAUCCAGCCUCGUUCUAUUUGGUAUGACCUCUAACAAAAAAGUGGGCCACGCGCACGUGUGCACCAUAAAUUCAGAAGACUCAGAAGGGAGGCGUAAGAAGGCAUUUUAUACAUUUCAAAUAAUAUCAAAGCGGUAAAUUAGCGGUAAUUAGCACAUUAGGCCCACAAAUACAGUAAUAUCAGCAAUCAAGAAAGUCAAGUAUAGAUCACAUUAAUAAGUUCGAAUUCUGAACCCUAAACCAGAGAUUUCGGGUUCUUAUUCCCCAACAGCGUCGCCAGAGCUGUCACACCUACUUUUUUCCGAGGAAUAUGGGGUUUUUCCAAUUAAAGUAAUAUUAUUCGAAAUGAGAUUAUUUAUUUUAUUAGAGUCACCACUUGGAAUAAUUAUCAUGGUGUCCCAAGUCACGGGUUUGUUUUAAAAUUCCAAAUCGAGGAAAUUAACUCUGUUUUAAAGUCCGCGAAACACAAAAGACCGGUAAGGAAUUCUGUUAAUUCGAGAGAAGGUAUUAGGCAUUCCCGGAUUCUAUGAUUUUAGCACGGUCGCUUUACAAUCCACACUUAGCUUAUUAAUUGAUUAUUAUGUAUUUUAGAACCUACGUGCAUUUUAGCCUUUACCGCUUUUAAAUUACAUGUUAUGGCGUUAUGGAAUUAUCUUGAAAUGAACCACGUGUGUGGAUCCAUUUUAUUUAGUGUACUAAAAUCAUGUCACGCGUACGUGUACACAAUUUGCAACACUUUAUUAAUCUUAAGGUUGCUUUGCAAAAGUCGUGCAAACACAUACUUUGCCUUUAAUUUGAAAAUCAUAAUUAUGUCACGCGAACGUAUAUAUAAUCACGAUAAUUGAUUUAUUAACACACGCCUAAAAUAUACUAGUGAUUUGUGAGUUAUUCUUUGCUACAUUUGGAAUAAUUGUGAAGUUUGUGAUCUAUGGAAGUUACUGUGGAAAAAUAUGAAAUAGUUUAAGGUAGGCUAGCUUUGUUAUUAAAGAGAAAAUGGGCGAGACAUAUUAUCAUGGAAAUGGGCCUGGCAAAUUAUUUGUUAGGCCCAUAUCCCUUUGCUAAAAUUAAUUCCCUUAAACUCAACCACAUGGUCAACUUAAAAUCAAAGCCCAUGUUCUGAUAAUCAACAUAACCCAUUAUCCAUUUUAGUAGCCCAAUAUCUAAAACCCAACUCACUAAUGAUUUUUCUUUUUAAUAACAAACACUAAGCAAACCAAAAAAAAUAAAAAUAUCACUCUUUAAUGCUAUGAGAUUUCUAAACAAACUAAUGAAUGUUUUGCUUGUUAAAUAUCAUAUCCACAUUCUGCAAGAUUUAACGAUUAAGCUAAGCUCUCAAUAUUCAUUCAAGAUUUUUAACUAAAAUAAAAUAAUUAAACAACUUAUCAGAAACAAACAAACAUGGUAUUCAACUAAUAAUCGUAAAGGAAAGAUUGAGAAUGAACCUCAACUGAAAAUAUUAUACAUGAUUUUUGGUGAGCAAAGCCUCCGAAAAAACUUUUACAAUGACCACCCACGACUCACACUAGUUAACCGAUAAUAGAGCCUAGACCCAAAAUCGAUUUGAGACCGGAAUUUGGAACGGAAAACCUUGCUUGAACCUCACGCAGAAGCGUGUUCGGCGACCUUGACUCAAAACCUUGGUUGAAGUGUGUGUGUUUUAGUGAUGUUUUGAGCUGCUGUUUCAGGUGGUUUUAUAGCUGAGAAAGAGUUGAUUUUAGGUGGAUUUUAGGAGGUAUUUUUUGUGUUGUUUUGACUGGUUUUGGGGUGUUAUAGGAUGGCAAAGUAGGGGCUGUUUUGCGGCUGAUUCUUGCUAAGUUUUGGGGCUAUUUUUUCAGCAAGUCCGUAGUUGGUUCUGCUGUAUUUUUGGACAGCUUUCAGCUACGUUUUUAGGUGACGUUUUGGGGUCGAUUCCAGCUGGGUUUGGGGUGAACUUUUUGCUGGUUUGGAGCUGAUUUUUUACGAUGAAAAUGGUUCUUUACAUGGUUAUUUUUUGGUGAUUUAAUGGAGGGAUUUGAUGUUGCUUCAAUUGGAUCGUAGGUGAUGGAGAAGGUGGUUGAUUUUUACUGAGAAAGUGAUGUUUGAUGGCUUAAAAGAGCAGCUACAGUGGAGGUCGUUGGUGAAGCUACAACCUUAGGUGGUGGAGCGGAGUUUAGGAAGCUACUUUGAUGGUUGAAAAUGGCGAUUGGUUCAUUCCCCCCUUUUUUUAGAUUUGUUUUCCUUUUUCCUGUUUUCCUGUGUUCUCUCUCUCUUUUCUGUUUUUCCAGCCCCGAUUUUUGUUAUUUACUCCUAAGUACUAAAAUCUGUCUUGUCCUUCUUUCCUUUUUUUUUACAAAUCAGUCCCUUUCUAUCUUCUAGGAGCUUCUAAAUUAGUUAGAGACAGAUUCUCCCAAAUUUCCUAUUCCUUGUAACCCCCCUUGAAUUCUUGUAAAUUACUCUUCUUUUAACCUUUUCUGUUACCUCAACACUUACUGCCUUCUAUCCAAAAUUACUGUCAUCUUUCUCUUAUCAGAAUCAAGCUACAAUUAACUAAGCUAAACUAGCAAUAGGCUAACAAACACAAACUAAACCUGAAUUAUCAACUAAUUAACAUGUUAGUUAGACAAAUAAGCAAUUUAAACCACCAAAGCGAUUAUCAAAUGACUAAACUUCAGAUUCAACUAAAAUAAUUAAUUACUUAAAAAGUUAAAAUAAUUUUAAUUAUUAACCUAAGCAUGUUGUCAAACUAAUAAUUAACAAACUAAGACAUAGAAUCAGUAACUCCAAGGAAUGAAGAAAAGAGGUAGAGGAUUACCAUGUGAAACACUGUUGACCGGCGAGAAAAUAAUUCUGGACGAUAGCCGGCAUCGCCACACAGGCAUUGCCUUAUGCUUGAGGGUAUAACUAAUGUUGUAUGCGAUGAUGUUAGCCAUAAUCCGGUCGAAAAGAUCAACAUCAGAGGAAUUUCAGCAGUUCUGGCCAGCCAACGGUGGGUCGGUCAAAUUCUGACGACUUCGAAAUGAGCCGAAACUAACAUCAAUCGAUUGCUCUUGUAAAGAACAAUCGAUUAACAUAAGUUUCAAGCCAAAACGAGCUGGUAUCGCCCAAGAAAUCAGAAGAGAAAAAAAUUAUGUUUUUGAAUUCCUAAAUCUAUUACUCAUUGAUUUUGGUGAGGAUUUCGGGGAAAUUGGUAAGGGAUUUGGAUUGAGGAGAAGUUGGGGAUUAUGGGGUAUGAAUUUGAGGGGGAUUGGAGCUGUUUGGGGUGGUGCCGCCGGCGGAGGAAUUUUGGGGCGGCUAGGGUUUUGAGAGUAUUUGGGAGAGAUGAGGGAGAUGAGAGAAUGAGGGGUCCUUAGGUUUGGAGGGGCGGUUCAGACACUCUUAAGGGAUUUGGGGGUUCAGUUC
Molecule: long non-coding RNA, 9096 nt
Filed under: Nicotiana tabacum (common tobacco)
Lineage: Eukaryota; Viridiplantae; Streptophyta; Magnoliopsida; Solanales; Solanaceae
Description: long non-coding RNA (NTAB_LNC008757)
Source: RNAcentral